RNAcentral lists this ribosomal RNA (483 nucleotides) under uncultured bacterium. Its description in RNAcentral is "partial 16S ribosomal RNA". It matches the Rfam family "Bacterial small subunit ribosomal RNA", at positions 30 to 507 of the family's 1533-position model. The record is from RNAcentral.
UUGAACGCUGGCGGCAGGCCUAACACCUUCCAGUCGCGCGGAUGAAGGGAGCUUGCUCCUGGAUUCAGCGGCGGACGGGUGAGUAAUGCCUAGGAAUCUGCCUGGUAGUGGGGGAUAACGUCCGGAAACGGGCGCUAAUACCGCAUACGUCCUGAGGGAGAAAGUGGGGGAUCUUCGGACCUCACGCUAUCAGAUGAGCCUAGGUCGGAUUAGCUAGUUGGUGGGGUAAAGGCCUACCAAGGCGACGAUCCGUAACUGGUCUGAGAGGAUGAUCAGUCACACUGGAACUGAGACACGGUCCAGACUCCUACGGGAGGCAGCAGUGGGGAAUAUUGGACAAUGGGCGAAAGCCUGAUCCAGCCAUGCCGCGUGUGUGAAGAAGGUCUUCGGAUUGUAAAGCACUUUAAGUUGGGAGGAAGGGCAGUAAGUUAAUACCUUGCUGUUUUGACGUUACCAACAGAAUAAGCACCGGCUAACUUCGUG